GCAGCCAUGCCGCGUGUGUGAAGAAGGCCUUCGGGUUGUAAAGCACUUUCAGUUGUGAGGAAAAGUUAGUAGUUAAUACCUGCUAGCCGUGACGUUAACAACAGAAGAAGCACCGGCUAACUCCGUGCCAGCAGCCGCGGUAAU
This 144-nucleotide ribosomal RNA is filed under the name uncultured bacterium. RNAcentral describes it as "partial 16S ribosomal RNA". It matches the Rfam family "Bacterial small subunit ribosomal RNA", at positions 388 to 524 of the family's 1533-position model. The record is from RNAcentral.